Molecule: long non-coding RNA, 356 nt
Organism: Hippoglossus stenolepis (Pacific halibut)
Lineage: Eukaryota; Metazoa; Chordata; Actinopteri; Pleuronectiformes; Pleuronectidae
Exons: 3
Source: RefSeq, a predicted model, not a curated record
GUGGUGUCCAAACUGGAGACGUGGGACCUUUAUGGGGUCCAUGUCCGGAUUCUAAAAGCCCCCUGUCCACAUUUUAAGAAUGAAUUAAGAUAACAGUUCUUAUUUAAUUUGGCUGCAAACAAGCGUCAUAAAUCAGGUCUUUUCAACAGCUCUCAAGUCUCAGUGUUGGUACCAAAUCAAACCAGAACUACUGACAUCCUGAAAUCCUGAUCACUGCCCACCUCCUGGAUCAGAACAUGGAAUUCUCCUUGUUCAUGAUGGCUCCAAAUGUUUUCUUUUUUCAAGAAGUAGAGGGACACAAAAUCAUCCUCACUGCUGGACUCCAUUUUAUCUCCUACUGCAAAUAUAAUAAAACA